Molecule: transfer RNA, 70 nt
Filed under: Goggia hewitti
Lineage: Eukaryota; Metazoa; Chordata; Lepidosauria; Squamata; Gekkonidae
Description: tRNA-Trp
Source: RNAcentral
AAGUUUAGGUUAACCCAAACAAACCAAGGGCCUUCAAAGCCCAAAAUAGGGCCUAAGCCCCUAACUUCUG